Molecule: ribosomal RNA, 800 nt
Filed under: uncultured bacterium
Lineage: Bacteria
Description: bacterial SSU rRNA
Rfam family: Bacterial small subunit ribosomal RNA
Source: RNAcentral
AGAGUUUGAUCAUGGCUCAGAUUGAACGCUGGCGGCAUGCCUAACACAUGCAAGUCGAACGGCAGCACAGCAGUAGCAAUACUGUGGGUGGCGAGUGGCGGACGGGUGAGUAAUGCAUCGGGAUCUACCCUGACGUGGGGGAUAACCUCGGGAAACCGGGACUAAUACCGCAUACGUCCUACGGGAGAAAGCGGGGGACCUUCGGGCCUCGCGCGGCAGGACGAACCGAUGUGCGAUUAGCUAGUUGGCGGGGUAAUGGCCCACCAAGGCGACGAUCGCUAGCUGGUCUGAGAGGAUGAUCAGCCACACUGGGACUGAGACACGGCCCAGACUCCUACGGGAGGCAGCAGUGGGGAAUAUUGGACAAUGGGCGCAAGCCUGAUCCAGCAAUGCCGCGUGUGUGAAGAAGGCCUUCGGGUUGUAAAGCACUUUUAUCAGGAGCGAAAUACCACGGGUUAAUACCCUAUGGGGCUGACGGUACCUGAGGAAUAAGCACCGGCUAACUUCGUGCCAGCAGCCGCGGUAAUACGAAGGGUGCAAGCGUUAAUCGGAAUUACUGGGCGUAAAGGGUGCGUAGGCGGUUACUUAAGUCUGUCGUGAAAUCCCCGGGCUCAACCUGGGAAUGGCGAUGGAUACUGGGUGGCUAGAGUGUGUCAGAGGAUGGUGGAAUUCCCGGUGUAGCGGUGAAAUGCGUAGAGAUCGGGAGGAACAUCAGUGGCGAAGGCGGCCAUCUGGGACAACACUGACGCUGAAGCACGAAAGCGUGGGGAGCAAACAGGAUUAGAUACCCUGGUAGUCCA